RNAcentral lists this ribosomal RNA (405 nucleotides) under uncultured bacterium. Its description in RNAcentral is "bacterial SSU rRNA". It matches the Rfam family "Bacterial small subunit ribosomal RNA", at positions 355 to 776 of the family's 1533-position model. The record is from RNAcentral.
UGGGGAAUAUUGCACAAUGGGGGAAACUCUGACGCAGUGACGCCGCGUAUAGGAAGAAGGUCUUCGGAUUGUAAACUAUUGUCGUUAGGGAAGAGAAAGGACAGUACCUAAGGAGGAGGCUCCGGCUAACUACGUGCCAGCAGCCGCGGUAAUACGUAGGGAGCGAGCGUUAUCCGGAUUUAUUGGGUGUAAAGGGUGCGUAGACGGGAAAAUAAGUUAGUUGUGAAAUCCCUCGGCUCAACUGAGGAACUGCGACUAAAACUAUUUUUCUUGAGUGCAGGAGAGGAAAGUGGAAUUCCUAGUGUAGCGGUGAAAUGCGUAGAUAUUAGGAGGAACACCAGUGGCGAAGGCGACUUUCUGGACUGUAACUGACGUUGAGGCUCGAAAGCGUGGGGAGCAAACAGG